Monopterus albus (swamp eel) is the source of this 68-nucleotide microRNA precursor. The record is from Ensembl. NCBI's taxonomy places the organism in Eukaryota, Metazoa, Chordata, Actinopteri, Synbranchiformes, Synbranchidae.
ACCCUAUGGUAGGUGACAUCAUGCUGUUCUACCACAGGGUAGAACCACGGACGGGAUGUUGGGAGGUG